This 982-nucleotide long non-coding RNA is filed under the name Sorghum bicolor (sorghum). RNAcentral describes it as "long non-coding RNA (SBIC_LNC014916)". Lineage: Eukaryota; Viridiplantae; Streptophyta; Magnoliopsida; Poales; Poaceae. The record is from RNAcentral.
UAUUUACUGUGACUCGUUCAGCCAAGACGCGUCACUGGUGCAGAUCUCAUCAGUAACGCAUUGUAUCAAAACGUGUCACUAAUGGUAAUUGAAAAAAACAAAAAAAACAAGAAAAAUCUAUAUAGGGCCAUGUUUGUUCAGUACCUAUUCUUUACACAGCUGCAGUAGUAGCACCUGCAGAUCUAUACCUAUUCUUUACACAGAUGCAGCAGUAGCAGCUGCAGAUCUAUCUCGUAAUACACAUGUUUCAUUCAAUCCAACAAUCAAAUCAUUUACAAGUACGCAAUAAAGUAUCUUGCACAAGGUGCAGUGUGACCUAAAAGAUCUCUAACAGUACAUGGCCGUGGCCCGAAGAUUUCUAACAGUACAUGAGGUAACUCCUCUAUGGUUUUUUCUUGAUGCACAAUACUUAUUGCAAUGUAACAUGUAUAUAUCUAUGAAUAUUGCUAAAUGGCUAACAUAGACUUUCGCAUGUUUUAGAAUAAGGACUAGCUCAAGUUACUUCUCCAAUUCCCGGUCUUGGCAAACAGCUGGACACUGAUUGAUGGCCAGGAAGGCAUUCUACCUGCAAAAACUAUAGUCAAUUUCCCAGCCUAAGCACACAAUUGGACUAUCACAACAAAAAUAAAUGCUCAAGCCAAGCUAAAUAGGAAGAUUGUCAUAGCUACUUGUUAAUUAACCAUAUAACAGAAGCACUAUUAAAACAAAAAGAAAUACUUAGGCACUACAGAGGUUACAGCUAAUAACAUAAAUCACAAAGAGCACGAACCUGCAAGCUGCCAUGUAAAUAAAUAUCAAAGAAACAAAGGUUGCUAAUAAAUUCAUAUAUCUGAAACAACCACUAUUAAGUAAAACAGACAGAUCUCUCAGAUUCACAGUUCCCAAUUCUACAGUGGUCAUGAGCUUACCAUCAGUAGAUUGUGCAGCCACUAAAGCACAGGUGACAAAAUAGAACUCCAGCACAAUCUGCUUGUUGAAUGUU